AAUCCCCUGUCAUGUACGAGGUAGAGAGGAAUUUUUGAUCCAACACCAAUAAAAAAGGGAGCUAAUUAGUGGUUAUGGUGUGUAAGCCUGUCGUAUGCAGGAAACCUAAAGUAACCCGUAUGGUUCCCACCCUGGUUUACCAGGUUCAAAAUAUCCUUUCUAUACGGCAUAAAGAUGGGGGAUUA
This 185-nucleotide non-coding RNA is filed under the name Nitrospinae bacterium RIFCSPHIGHO2_02_39_11. RNAcentral's name for it is "6S RNA". It matches the Rfam family "6S / SsrS RNA". From Rfam's summary of the family: E. coli 6S RNA was the first non coding RNA to be sequenced, but its function was unknown until recently. Lineage: Bacteria; Pseudomonadati; Nitrospinota. RNAcentral also lists the same sequence under 7 other names. The record is from RNAcentral.